GAAUGAGCAGAUCAACAGAAUGCCGCUGGUGCGCUGGAGCUUUUGUGUGUGCCCACGUGCCAGUGUAAACACGAGCAGCAUUUCCUUCACCCCGCCGGUGCUCAUUAUAUGAAGCCAUUUCCGCAGCAUGGUAUCCCACAAUACUGAGGAAAAGAGCCCUGAAGAAAUACAAUAGGAUGAAAAUGAAUAAUGUGAUUGAGAAAACAACUCUCUCCUCCCAUUUAGAAAUGCCAAUCAGAAUCACAGCAGGUGGGGCAUCCUUUGAAUUAUCCAAUCAGAGACCUCGAAGUUUGAUAAAAUCGUAACUCUUUAAAGAGAAGACUGAUGUGGAUUAAGUCUACUUGUGGUUGGGUGUGAGCACUAAGAGCAAAGCCAGAUCUGUGUUUGAAAGUGGUGAGCACUAAAAAUAGUC
This is a long non-coding RNA of Suricata suricatta (meerkat), 412 nucleotides long. RefSeq lists it as uncharacterized. The transcript is spliced from 3 exons. Lineage: Eukaryota; Metazoa; Chordata; Mammalia; Carnivora; Herpestidae. The record is from RefSeq and is a predicted model, not a curated record.